GACGAACGCUGGCGGCGUGCUUAACACAUGCAAGUCGAACGAUGAAGAAGAGCUUGCUCUUCGGAUUAGUGGCGAACGGGUGAGUAACACGUGACUAACCUGCCCCCUCCUCUGGGAUAACGCUCCGAAAGGAGUGCUAAUACCGAAUACUCACAUCGAGGCACAUGCCUUGAUGUGGAAAGUUUUUCGGAAAGGGAUGGAGUCGCGGCCUAUCAGCUUGUUGGUGAGGUAACGGCUCACCAAGGCGACGACGGGUAGCCGGCCUGAGAGGGCGACCGGCCACACUGGGACUGAGACACGGCCCAGACUCCUACGGGAGGCAGCAGUGGGGAAUAUUGCACAAUGGGCGAAAGCCUGAUGCAGCGACGCCGCGUGAGGGAUGAAGGUCUUCGGAUUGUAAACCUCUUUCAGUAGGGACGAAGCGAAAGUGACGGUACCUAAAGAAGAAGCACCGGCUAACUACGUGCCAGCAGCCGCCGUAA
Molecule: ribosomal RNA, 482 nt
Filed under: uncultured bacterium
Lineage: Bacteria
Description: partial 16S ribosomal RNA
Rfam family: Bacterial small subunit ribosomal RNA
Source: RNAcentral